CUCGUACUCUGUCUUUCUCUCUCAGAAAUAAGCAUUAAAAAAAUAAAAUAAAAUAAAAAAAGAACAUAGAAUCUGGAGCCAGAGUAUUCGGAUUCAAAGCCCCAGCUCUACCACUUACUUACUAGCUGUGUGCCUUUCAACAAGUUACUUAACCUCUCUGUGCUUUGGCUCCUCAUCUGUAAAAAUGGGGGUAGUAAUGUUAUCUAACUCUUAAGAUUGUGAGGAUUAAAUGAGUUAGCAGAUGUAAGUGUUAGACAAUAAUUGCUAUAUAACCACCAGCUAUAAAAAUAAAUUUAAUUAUAAUUUAUCCAUAGCCUCAUGUCUCAAUCAUAAAUAAGUGCUAACAUUGGUAUAGUUGUCUUUGUAUUUUGUCUUCCUAUUUGAAAGUGCUUUCAUCUUCCAACAGUGAUAGUCAUGGUACUAUCAUGGUACAGUGUAAAGUACUUUUUUCUAUUAAUAUAAUGUCAUGAGAAUUUUCCACUAGAAUUUCUGAUGGGGGACCAUGGUUUCCUGAACACUGCUUGCAACUUCUGUCCACCCUCCUCAGAUCCCCAGGACUCUCUGCUCUGGCUCCUACAAUAAAUACUGUGGUUGACUUAUUGCACACAUAGCCACAAUUCUCCACCCUGUUUUUGCAAUGUGACUUUGUAGCUCCUCCCACCAAAAUAUGGGGUUUGCUUCUCCUUUCCUUCAAUCUGAGCUGCCCCGGUGAGUUUCUUUGGCCAGCUGAAUGCAGCGGAGGUAAAGGUGGGCCAGUUCUGAGGUGCUUAGGUGCUUUCACUCACAUAGGUGGAACCCUGCAGCUUCUGUGGGGAAGUUUGGGCUGGCCUGUUGGAGGAUGAGAGACCAUGUGGAAGAAGGUCCAGUUGCCUAACUGAGACCCUCCAAGACUUAUGGACCACUGGCCCCCAAACAUGUGAGAGAGCCCAGCCAAGGUCAGCAGAACGGUGUAUCCAACCCUUAGAAGAAUAAAUGAGCCUGUUCAGCUGACCUGCAGAUUCAUGGAAAAUGAGAAUACAUGUAGUUUGGGCCACUGAAGUUGGGAGUGUUUAGUUGCGCAGCUACGGCUAAUGGAUAUAACCCCCGGAGGAGAAAGGCUACAGAUAUGAGACCCUCUGAUUGGUCCACUGGAUAGCAUGGGUGGGGCACCCUCUUCACCUCUUCCCUUCCAGAGUCCAUUGUACUGGCUCUUGUGUCAACCCAGCUGUCAUGCAAAGUUGCCAAAACCCUCAAGUAAUCACUCUGGUGGUCCUCAAUGGGUAGUCUUUGUCUCUGUAGUCUGGGCCCCUUUCUGAAGACAAGGAUAACCCCAUGGUGGGGGAGGAAUCUCUCUGGGCCCCUUCUCCCCCAUCUCCCACUGUGGGUCAAGUAAUUUUGCUUGUCUUCAAAACAGGGAGGGUGGAACAGAGCUCUCAGGUCCCAGGCAGUCUGUGGGAGGGGCAGACACACUCUCAGGCUCCAGGGGUCUUCAAACAAGACCUCCCCAGUCUUGCCCAGGAGCUUCCUCACCGACAGCCUCAGGACACCUGGAAGGAGGAUGGCCUGACAGAGGUCCUAGGUGGGGUCUGUCAUUCUGCCCCCCGCCUAAGCUUGAUGCCUGUCCAGCACGAAGAGUUAACGAACUGAACACUCCACGAAAAACCAUGACACGCUGCUACACAGAUUGACACAAACUUUUCAAAUACUUUGGAGAAAGCUUUGUUUAGCAAAUCGGUAAACGUGGUAAAUUCAGCCCACUGACUUUUGGAGAUGGUUUUGUCGAACCGACCCAAGAUCCUGUGCCUGCCACGUCCUGUCAUCCCCACGGGCCUGGCACUGCACUUAUGUGUGAAUCAAGGCUCAGGAAAGACACUUUACAUUGAAGAGUCCCACGCUGGCAUGUGUAUGUCUAACUGGUAUUGUCAGCCCAGGGACAUCCUCCAGGCACCCUUGGUUAUUUUCUCUUUGGACAGGUAGGCAGACACUCUUAUACACCGGGGGGCCAGAGGACAGAGGCCACCUUCCCAGAGUUUGGCACGCUCAGCAGCUCUGUUGUUGAUGACCUGGCCCCAGGAUCAGGCCCAGAAAAUGGUGGGUGGAACCACCAAGCCCGGGCAAGAAGGCACGGGCCUUGGUUUUCAGUGUUGAAAUUUCUGGCCUCCUGCUUCAGGCGCCCUGGCAGGGCUCUGACUUCCCCAGCAGGCAUGUUUAUGGGGGUAAUGCCUGGCUAUAGUCAUGACUUCACUGUCUUCUUACCAUAGCCUGGCAAGGUAGAGUCUGGGAUCGUACCCUUUCACAGGUGAGGAGAUUGAGGCUUAGCAGAGCUGGGUGACCUGCUCAAGGGCACACAGCUAGCAGGUGGUGGAGCUGGGAUUCCAACCCAGAUGGCGCUUUGCUUGGGGGAAGUCUGAGGUCUUGGGAAUGCACGUGUCUUCACAAGCAUGCUGCGGGACCUGCUCUCUAUGGAGGAGCCAGUUUGUUGUAGUGGAAAGAGGUAGACACAUCCGGGCUCCUGGCUCUGCCUCAGAUUCUUUCUGAGCCUCGGUUUCCCAAACUGUAAAAUGGUGACAAUGCUUCCCUGAUGUGGUUCCAAAGAUUUAAAUGAGAUUGUACAAUAAGGACCCGAUAAAAAGGUUUGUUUUUCUCUUUUUGUUCUAAGUUGUUUGCAAUAUUCUGCAAUGGAAUUAAAAAUAUGUGCGUACACUGAAAGAAAUCCAGAGUCAACAUGGAAUCCGUGCACCUCGAUUAUUCUAAAGUGUUGAAGCGGAAGCUCCAUGAGGCCAAGAUCACAUCUGCUGUGGCCCCUCUGUGCCAGGCACAGCAAUGUUCACUGCAGAAAGUUCAGAAAACAAAUACUUCCUAUUAUCCUACCGGUCAGAGAUGACGACUGUUGACAUUUUGGUAUAAAUGCUUCCAGAAUAAUUUUAAUACAUCCGGUCUCCAAAACAAUACCAGCCUCCCACUUGUGUUCAAGGAUGUAUGACGCUUUUUUAACGCGGAACAAUGGUUGUCUUUUCUUGCCUCGAUUCAGG
Long non-coding RNA from Felis catus (domestic cat), 3011 nucleotides. RefSeq lists it as uncharacterized. The record is from RefSeq and is a predicted model, not a curated record. The transcript is spliced from 4 exons. NCBI's taxonomy places the organism in Eukaryota, Metazoa, Chordata, Mammalia, Carnivora, Felidae.